UUUGGCUUCCCAAAGUGCUGGGAUUACAGGCGUUUGAGCCACUGUGCCCGGCCAAAAUUUAACUUUUAAAGAACACUCAUUUAAGUUAAAGAAAGAUUACCACUGGCUCCCUACAUCAGAGUUUUAACCUGGGGUCCAAGACUUCAGGGUAUUUGUAACACCAUGAAAACAUAUGUGACAUUUUGUGUGUGUGUGUGUGUGUUUUUUUUUUCCCUGGGGAAAGUUUCUAACUCUCUCCGAUCCUAAAAGGUUAGAAACUAGUGCUUUAGAUAUGUUUCUUGCUUUUACGUUAAAUAAAUAAUCCUAUUCUUGGCUUGAGAGUCCCUUAAAAAUUUUUCUUCAUUUGCAUUUCACAGCUGAAUAUUUGAGUUCUUUGUUCUCACCUUAACAGCCUUCUCAUUAAAACCAAAAAAUAUUCUCCUCUAGCAAUUAAUCAUAAGGAAUUUAAAUUUUUUAUUUAAUUUUUAUUUUUUGACGUACCAAAAGACAGAAGGAGGCAGAGACUGAUGCCCCACAAUGAAAGUGACAGGCAGGGAGACAAGCAGCUAGAGACAGUGAGACACACAGGCACAGAUAAAAGGCCUAAGGACAGAGAGACUAGACAGGCAAAAGAAAUACAGAGAAACCUGGAAACACAGGAGAGACACAAGAACUGAGCAGACAGAGAAGAGGGAUGGCAGAAAAAUAGGCUGGCAGGGAGGGAAUGGAGACUGACAGAGAAGGCAGUCAAAAUCACCAAAAGGGAUGCAGACAGGCAAACAGAGAGAGAGAGAAGGGAAGACAGAUAAAGGAAGAAAAAAUAAGGUAAGAAGGAAGACAAAGUGAUAAUGGUGUUUUAUACAACAUAGUGCUUUAUAAUUUAUAAAGUGCUAUCACAUACAUUAUUGCAGGCAGACAGGGAGAAUCCAGCAGACAGAUGGGGUGAUGGAAGGAUACAGGCCAAUCAGACAGAAGAGAGGGGAGAGGGCCAAUCAGAAAAAGAGGCUAGAAUAGAGACCAAGACAGACAGAUAAGAAGAACGAACCAAGAAAAGAGAAGUAAGAGAGGGAAAGAGGGAAAGAGUGGAGAGACACAAAGAUAGAGGCUGAAACAGUUAAACUCAGGAAAACAGGCAGUAAAAAAGCAGAAAUGAAAGAACAGUGCAUUGUGUGUACAAGUUUUAUUAUCAUCUUUUUCAACGAGACCUGGUUAGAGGCUGUGUCUUUGUCUCCUUCAAAGAGUUAUAAAAUGUCUCUAAGGUGGCACGUGAGUGGAGCCAGAAGGCUGGAUGAAAAAGGAAAAAAGUUUUAAUCAGGAUAAAGCUUUUUAGACUGGGAGGAAGACAAACUUCUUAGGCCUAGGUCAACAACCUAAAGGAUCUUAGAUUCACAUGACCUUACAUAAUUCAUACAGACUAAGUGAGAAAAGCAGGGCAGUCCUCUCUCUACUCUGUGUGCAUGUAAGCUCAGCUUACUGUUACUUAUUAACUGUGCCUAUACGUAUAUGGUACUUUUUAGUACUACCGGUGCUUUCAUGCCUUCUCCAAUACAUAUUUCAGUGAUGAAGGGACCAACAAAGCUGUCUUGCUGUCAUCAGACCACUUACCAUGCAGAGCAGACUACAUUUGGAGAGAGUAAAGCCUUCCUGAGCACUCCUCAGGUACUGGUAGUGAACGCAUGCAACCAGCAACUAGUCAAUCCAAAAGACAAGUGCUUUGGGUAGCACUUGGCAGAAUCCAAAAGACCAGAGAUGGCAAGCCCAGCCAAGUUAGUUAGGAGUACUGACAGACUGACAGAGGAAGGAGCAUCCAGAAAAACUGGAAGAAAAGUAGGGAGGAGUACAGCAAAACACAAGCAAAAGCAAGCAAGCAAAAAGACUUGUGUGUGUGUAGACUCUUCUCUGGAGCAGUAUCCAGGAAAUGUCAAACAGUGGCUGCUGCUGGGGAGAAGAACUUGGAGACUAUGGGAGAAGGAUGGGAGAGAGGCUUACUUUUCACAGUACACUUUCUGUACUUUUAAAAUGUUGUACCGUAAGUAUGUACUACCUAUUUAGAAGUUAACUGGGAAAAAAGAAACAAAAGAAGAGAGAAAAGCAAGAAGAGAUGUGGACAGCAAGAGCCUGCCAAGCAGACAGCAAAAAGGCAGGAAGGCAGCGAGAGACUGGGAAAAUGGCAAAAAGACUGAGGCAGGCAGACUGUGUGAGGAACCAGAAAGGCAGAAAAAGAGAUAACUGAAAUAAAGGCAAACAUGAGAGAAGGCAGGGUAGGGGAUGUGGCAAGAAGUUAGAUAAGACUUUGAGGCAAAGGAGUUACUGAGAGGUUUAGGGUAGAGAGACUAUCCUCAUUGACGGAUGUUGGCAGAAAAGCAGCAAAGGAAGAAAAUGCUAGUAAGUACGAAGACUAAAGAGAAAAGCCUGAAACGGUGGGAUAGCAGCAAAUAGGGUAGACAGGCAAGAGAGAUCUAAAGGGAGGCAAGGGAAAAGGAGGAACUUAACAGGCACAAAUAAGAAAAGGAACAAGCAGAA
Non-coding RNA from Macaca mulatta (Rhesus monkey), 2502 nucleotides. The record is from RefSeq and is a predicted model, not a curated record. NCBI's taxonomy places the organism in Eukaryota, Metazoa, Chordata, Mammalia, Primates, Cercopithecidae.